RNAcentral lists this ribosomal RNA (484 nucleotides) under Pseudomonas sp. EMB22. Its description in RNAcentral is "bacterial SSU rRNA". It matches the Rfam family "Bacterial small subunit ribosomal RNA", at positions 27 to 506 of the family's 1533-position model. Lineage: Bacteria; Pseudomonadati; Pseudomonadota; Gammaproteobacteria; Pseudomonadales; Pseudomonadaceae. The record is from RNAcentral.
GAUUGAACGCUGGCGGCAGGCCUAACACAUGCAAGUCGAGCGGAUGAAGGGRGCUUGCUCCUGGAUUCAGCGGCGGACGGGUGAGUAAUGCCUAGGAAUCUGCCUGGUAGUGGGGGAUAACGUCCGGAAACGGGCGCUAAUACCGCAUACGUCCUGAGGGAGAAAGUGGGGGAUCUUCGGACCUCACGCUAUCAGAUGAGCCUAGGUCGGAUUAGCUAGUUGGUGGGGUAAAGGCCUACCAAGGCGACGAUCCGUAACUGGUCUGAGAGGAUGAUCAGUCACACUGGAACUGAGACACGGUCCAGACUCCUACGGGAGGCAGCAGUGGGGAAUAUUGGACAAUGGGCGAAAGCCUGAUCCAGCCAUGCCGCGUGUGUGAAGAAGGUCUUCGGAUUGUAAAGCACUUUAAGUUGGGAGGAAGGGCAGUAAGUUAAUACCUUGCUGUUUUGACGUUACCAACAGAAUAAGCACCGGCUAACUUCGU